Molecule: ribosomal RNA, 1048 nt
Filed under: Mycosphaerellaceae sp.
Lineage: Eukaryota; Fungi; Ascomycota; Dothideomycetes; Mycosphaerellales; Mycosphaerellaceae
Description: eukaryotic LSU rRNA
Rfam family: Eukaryotic large subunit ribosomal RNA (bases 465-1048)
Source: RNAcentral
UGAGUGAGGGCCUCCGGGCCCGACCUCCACCCUUCUGUGAACCACCUCGUUGCUUCGGGGGUGACCCCGCCGUUCUCGGGCGGCGGCGGCACCCCCGGAGGCCAUUCAAACCCUGCGUAACUUAGUGUCGGAGUUUAAAAUAAAUUAAACAAAACUUUCAACAACGGAUCUCUUGGUUCUGGCAUCGAUGAAGAACGCAGCGAAAUGCGAUAAGUAAUGUGAAUUGCAGAAUUCAGUGAAUCAUCGAAUCUUUGAACGCACAUUGCGCCCCCUGGUAUUCCGGGGGGCAUGCCUGUUCGAGCGUCAUUACACCAAUCAAGCCUGGCUUGGUAUUGGGCGUCGCGGGUUUGCUCGCGCGCCUCAAAGUCUUUCCCGGCUGGGCGGCUCCGUUCUCCAUGCGUGGUGGUUUUAAUCAUUCGCGGCGGGAGCGGGCGGCGCGGCCGUUAAACUACCCCUUCAAAGGUUGACCUCGGAUCAGGUAGGGAUACCCGCUGAACUUAAGCAUAUCAAUAAGCGGAGGAAAAGAAACCAACAGGGAUUGCCCUAGUAACGGCGAGUGAAGCGGCAACAGCUCAAAUUUGAAACCUGGCGCUUGCGUCCGGAUUGUAAUUUGCAGAGGAUGCUUCUGGGCAGCGGCCGUUCUAAGUUCCUUGGAACAGGACGUCAUAGAGGGUGAGAAUCCCGUAUGUGACCGGCGCGCACCCUCCACGUAGCUCCUUCGAAGAGUCGAGUUGUUUGGGAAUGCAGCUCUAAAUGGGAGGUAAAUUCCUUCUAAAGCUAAAUAUUGGCCAGAGACCGAUAGCGCACAAGUAGAGUGAUCGAAAGAUGAAAAGCACUUUGGAAAGAGAGUUAAAAAGCACGUGAAAUUGUUGAAAGGGAAGCGCUUCCAACCAGACUCCGCGGCGGUGUUCCGCCGGUCUUCUGACCGGUCCACUCGCCGCCGUGGGGCCAACAUCGUCUGGGGCCGCCGGAUAAGACCGGAGGAAUGUAGCUCUUUGAGUGUUAUAGCCUCCGGUGAUGCGGCGCGCCCCGGGCGAGGUCCGCGCUC